RNAcentral lists this ribosomal RNA (253 nucleotides) under uncultured bacterium. RNAcentral's name for it is "partial 16S ribosomal RNA". It matches the Rfam family "Bacterial small subunit ribosomal RNA", at positions 524 to 776 of the family's 1533-position model. The record is from RNAcentral.
GACGAACCGUGCGAACGUUGUUCGGAUUCACUGGGCUUAAAGGGCGCGUAGGCGGACUCGCAAGUCUGUGGUGAAAGCCCCCAGCUCAACUGGGGAAGUGCCGUGGAUACUGCAAGUCUGGAGGAGGGUAGGGGCAUCUGGGACGCUGGGUGGAGCGGUGAAAUGCGUUGAUAUCCAGCGGAACUCCGGUGGCGAAGGCGAGGUGCUGGACCCUUUCUGACGCUGAGGCGCGAAAGCCAGGGGAGCAAACGGG